This 22-nucleotide microRNA is filed under the name Vitis vinifera (wine grape). RNAcentral's name for it is "vvi-miR3632-3p". The record is from miRBase by way of RNAcentral. Lineage: Eukaryota; Viridiplantae; Streptophyta; Magnoliopsida; Vitales; Vitaceae.
UUUCCCAGACCCCCAAUACCAA